GGGCUCUUGAAAACGCCUAGAUUGACAAUCCUGAAGACCAAAGUCCUCUACUAACCCACAGAACAGAUACGGCACUGGGAGCAGCAACAUAAGAAUCCUCAAUGCUACCCUUUGUCAAUGUGCCACCUGGGAUGGGCGUGGCAGAACGCUAAGUGUACAGAGGCAGACACUAUUUACUCAUCUGAAGAUGCUAGUCACAUCACUCAAUGCACUACUGGAAGGUACUGUGAUACAACAAUGAUGCAAAUCCCCAACGCUGGGGCUCAAGAGCGUCUUGGGGAAUGAAAUGUGCGGUGCGGAAAUGCCUUCAUGUGAAAGCACUAUGGAGCCGUGGAAUUGAACCACUGAAUGGCCAGCUUGUCUUCCAAAGAAAGAGCCAAUUUAGGAGUCUGAGGCAACAGCCGAGAAAAUCCAAAUGUAAAGCAUUCGACCCUCUGCCUAAUCCAAGAGAACUGACUCGCCGUGUCCCUGCCUCCCUUCACAACUGUGUGGAGAUCAAAGGGUUUAGUUAUGAGUCAUCAAGACAAACAAGUUUGCUCUGGAUGUGCUGGGGUGAGGAGCAGGGCCUCAUUCUGCAUUACAGACCAAGGAUGUCCUGCAGUUUAUGCUCCCUAAAAACUAAAAGAGGGACGAAUCCUCGGCUGGUGUAAAUCAACAUUACUACAUUGACUUCAAUGGAACACGAUGAUUUACACCAGCCGAGAGCCAGGCCCAGGUGUUCUUCCCCUCAGGACAUGAGAGGACCACCGCCGGGUCUGGGAUGGAAUUCCCCACCCAACUUCA
Mauremys mutica (yellowpond turtle) is the source of this 783-nucleotide long non-coding RNA. RefSeq lists it as uncharacterized. The record is from RefSeq and is a predicted model, not a curated record. NCBI's taxonomy places the organism in Eukaryota, Metazoa, Chordata, Testudines, Geoemydidae. The transcript is spliced from 3 exons.